This 257-nucleotide ribosomal RNA is filed under the name uncultured bacterium. Its description in RNAcentral is "partial 16S ribosomal RNA". It matches the Rfam family "Bacterial small subunit ribosomal RNA", at positions 524 to 776 of the family's 1533-position model. The record is from RNAcentral.
UACGUAGGGUGCAAGCGUUGUCCGGAAUUAUUGGGCGUAAAGAGCUCGUAGGCGGUCUGUCGCGUCGGCUGUGAAAAACUCGGGGGCUCAACCCCCGAGCCUGCAGUCGAUACGGGCAGACUAGAGUGCUGCAGGGGAGACUGGAAUUCCUGGUGUAGCGGUGGAAUGCGCAGAUAUCAGGAGGAACACCGGUGGCGAAGGCGGGUCUCUGGGCAGUAACUGACGCUGAGGAGCGAAAGCGUGGGGGAGCGAACAGG